AACUGGAGGAAGGUGGGGAUGACGUCAAAUCAUCAUGCCCCUUAUGACCUGGGCUACACACGUGCUACAAUGGACAGAACAAAGGGCAGCGAAACCGCGAGGUUAAGCCAAUCCCACAAAUCUGUUCUCAGUUCGGAUCGCAGUCUGCAACUCGACUGCGUGAAGCUGGAAUCGCUAGUAAUCGCGGAUCAGCAUGCCGCGGUGAAUACGUUCCCGGGCCUUGUACACACCGCCCGUCACACCACGAGAGUUUGUAACACCCGAAGUCGGUGAGGUAACCUUUUAGGAGCCAGCCGCCGAAGGUGGGACAGAUGAUUGGGGUGAAGUCGUAACAAGGUAGCCGUAUCGGAAGGUGCGGUUGGAUCACCUCCU
This 372-nucleotide ribosomal RNA is filed under the name Bacillus subtilis. RNAcentral's name for it is "bacterial SSU rRNA". It matches the Rfam family "Bacterial small subunit ribosomal RNA", at positions 1161 to 1531 of the family's 1533-position model. The record is from RNAcentral. Lineage: Bacteria; Bacillati; Bacillota; Bacilli; Caryophanales; Bacillaceae.